GAUGAACGCUGGCGGCGUGCCUAAUACAUGCAAGUCGAGCGAACGGACGAGAAGCUUGCUUCUCUGAUGUUAGCGGCGGACGGGUGAGUAACACGUGGAUAACCUACCUAUAAGACUGGGAUAACUUCGGGAAACCGGAGCUAAUACCGGAUAAUAUUUUGAACCGCAUGGUUCAAAAGUGAAAGACGGUCUUGCUGUCACUUAUAGAUGGAUCCGCGCUGCAUUAGCUAGUUGGUAAGGUAACGGCUUACCAAGGCAACGAUGCAUAGCCGACCUGAGAGGGUGAUCGGCCACACUGGCACUGAGACACGGUCCAGACUCCUGCGGGAGGCAGCAGUAGGGAAUCUUCCGCAAUAGGCGAAAACCUGACGGAGCAACGCCGCGUGAGUGAUGAAGGUCUUCGGAUCGUAAAACUCUGUUAUUAGGGAAGAACAUAUGUGUAAGUAACUGUGCACAUCUUGACGGUACCUAAUCAGAAAGCCACGGCUAACUACGUG
Molecule: ribosomal RNA, 497 nt
Filed under: uncultured bacterium
Lineage: Bacteria
Description: partial 16S ribosomal RNA
Rfam family: Bacterial small subunit ribosomal RNA
Source: RNAcentral